GACGUAGGGUGCGAGCGUUGUCCGGAUUUAUUGGGCGUAAAGAGCUCGUAGGCGGCUCGUCGCGUCGACCGUGAAAACCCGCGGCUUAACUGCGGGCUUGCGGUUGAUACGGGCGGGCUAGAGUUCGGUAGGGGAGACUGGAAUUCUCGGUGUAGCGGUGAAAUGCGUAGAUAUCGAGAGGAACACCUGCGGCGAAGGCGGGUUGCUGGGCCGACACUGACGCUGAUGCGCGAAAGCCAGGGGAGCGAACGGG
Molecule: ribosomal RNA, 253 nt
Filed under: uncultured bacterium
Lineage: Bacteria
Description: partial 16S ribosomal RNA
Rfam family: Bacterial small subunit ribosomal RNA
Source: RNAcentral